GACGAACGCUGGCGGCGCGCUUAACACAUGCAAGUCGAACGGAAAGGCCCUGCUUUCGUGGGGUGCUCGAGUGGCGAACGGGUGAGUAACACGUGAGUAACCUUCCCUCGACUUUGGGAUAACUUCUGGAAACUGGGGCUAAUACCGGAUAGGAGCUCCUGCUGCAUGGUGGGGGUUGGACAGUUUCGGAGGUUGGGGAUGGACUCGCGGCUAAUCAGCUUGCUGGUGGGGUAGUGGCUUACCAAGGCAUUGACGGGUAGACGGCCUGAGAGGGUGACCGGCCACAUUGGGACUGAGAUACGGCCCAGACUCCUACGGGAGGCAGCAGUGAGGAAUAUAGCACAAUGGGCGGAAGACAGAUGCAGCAACGCCGCGUGCGGGAUGACGGCCUGCGGGUUGUAAACCGCUUUCGCCUGUGACGAAGCGAGAGUGACUGUAAUGUGUAAAGAAGCACCGGCUAACUACGUG
RNAcentral lists this ribosomal RNA (468 nucleotides) under uncultured bacterium. Its description in RNAcentral is "partial 16S ribosomal RNA". It matches the Rfam family "Bacterial small subunit ribosomal RNA", at positions 28 to 507 of the family's 1533-position model. The record is from RNAcentral.